UUUCCGUAGGUGAACCUGCGGAAGGAUCAUUACUGGGUUAAAAGGGCUUCUGCCCGCCACCCGCCCUCUGUCAUCGAUAAAACGAAAUGCUUCGGCCGACGGUUCCGCUAGCACCUGGCGAUCAGCCUGUGCGAACGGGGUCGCGGUCGGUCUCCCAAAUCUUGAGUGCAUGCGUGUAGUCUGAAUGCAAAAAAAACGAAACCAAAACUUUCAACAACGGAUCUCUUGGUUCUGGCAUCGAUGAAGAACGCAGC
This 254-nucleotide unclassified non-coding RNA is filed under the name uncultured fungus. RNAcentral describes it as "sequence contains ITS1, 5.8S rRNA gene". The stretch from base 206 to 254 matches the Rfam family "5.8S ribosomal RNA", at positions 1 to 49 of the family's 154-position model. The record is from RNAcentral. Lineage: Eukaryota; Fungi.